Molecule: ribosomal RNA, 253 nt
Filed under: uncultured bacterium
Lineage: Bacteria
Description: partial 16S ribosomal RNA
Rfam family: Bacterial small subunit ribosomal RNA
Source: RNAcentral
UACGUAGGUGGCAAGCGUUGUCCGGAUUUAUUGGGUUUAAAGGGUGCGUAGGCGGCUUUGUAAGUCAGUGGUGAAAUAUGGCAGCUUAACUGUCAGGGUGCCAUUGAUACUGCGGAGCUUGAGUACAGAUGAGGUAGGCAGAAUUGACGGUGUAGCGGUGAAAUGCUUAGAUAUCGUCAAGAACACCUAUAGCGAAGGCAGCUUACUAGGCUGUAACUGACGCUGAGGCACGAAAGUGUGGGGAUCAAACAGG